This is a non-coding RNA of Fundulus heteroclitus (mummichog), 1006 nucleotides long. NCBI's taxonomy places the organism in Eukaryota, Metazoa, Chordata, Actinopteri, Cyprinodontiformes, Fundulidae. The record is from the annotation of a RefSeq genome assembly.
UCCAUGUGACUGACUCUGUGUGUUUGCAUAUGUGUCCUGCCUCUCUGCUCCCAGCUGUUAAGAGGUCAGUGUUGAUCAGUGGCUGUCCAGGCCUUUCAGAGCCACUGACACACCAGCAGCACAAUGAUGAUGUCACUGACUCUACUGCUGACCACCCUGGGGCUCCUGGUUCACGGUUCAUCAGGAGACAUAAUCAUGACUCAGACUCCAGCAUCUCUUUCUGUUGUUCCAGGACAGACUGUCUCCAUCACAUGUAAAGCCAGUCAAUAUGUCAACGAUGAGGUAGACUGGUACCUUCAGAGACCUGGAGAAGCUAUUAAACUCCUGAUCUAUUGGACAUCAAAUCGUCAGUCUGGAGUUUCUGAUCGUUUCAGUGGAAGUCAGUCUGGAUCUGAUUUCACUCUGACCAUCAGCAGAGUUCAGGCUGAAGAUGCAGGAGUUUAUCACUGUCAGCAGGAUUACAGCAGACCGUUCACACAGUGAUACAACGUCGUACAAAAACCUCCCUCAGCUGCAGAGGAACUGAUCCACAGCUGCACUGAAGCAGAAGUUGUGCAAAUGGGGAACACAACUGCAGUUUAUUACAAAUAUCUCACUAAGUUGUAAUUGUUAUUAUUAUUAUUAUUACUUGCAAAGAUAAAAAAAAAACAAAAAAAAACAUAUGGCUGGAUAGACCUUGAUAAGCCUUUUAUUGCAGUUCAUCACUUUUAACUGAGCAUUAUUAAACCCUUUUUCAAAGUUUUUACUCAGAAAAUAUGAAAUAAAUUUGCUGAGUAUAAGAAACAACAUACUUUCUCUUUGAAACAAUUAAUUGCUAUAAAAACAAUGUUAUAUGGUUAACAAGCAAGCAUCAACAUGAUAUAAUUCAGCAGUUAUUUAGUCAAAUUCACUGAAAUAUUGUAGAAAACGUUAAAAUAUGAGAACAGUGAUGCAGAAAUUUAAACAUCAAGAAAACCAAGAGUUUUGGACUUUUAAAGGAAAUCAGAGUCCUCCUCAAAUUGUAUAU